Long non-coding RNA from Hippoglossus stenolepis (Pacific halibut), 305 nucleotides. RefSeq lists it as uncharacterized. The transcript is spliced from 3 exons. The record is from RefSeq and is a predicted model, not a curated record. Lineage: Eukaryota; Metazoa; Chordata; Actinopteri; Pleuronectiformes; Pleuronectidae.
GGAAUCCUGACACGCUCCACAACAGCUGAUGCUCCUGGACAGGUUGGAGUAACCAGCAUCCCUCCACUCACCAACCCUCCAUCAUCCCUGCCAACCAGCCACCCAUCAGCCAACUGGCCGCUUGUCCUCUCAAACAACCCUCCACCAGUCCUGCCAUGCAGCCUCCCAGUGCCAUGUUGAAUCAGGAAGCAACCAUUCAAUCACUGGAGGAGAGAAGUAUUACCCGGUGAAGAAGGUACUGAAAAGCAAAAGGUUGAAGGUUUUAUUUGUUGUAAUUUGAGGUCAAAAAAUGUAGUUGUAAUAUA